GAUGAACGCUGGCGGCGUGCCUAAUACAUGCAAGUCGAGCGAGCGGACGAGAAGCUUGCUUCUCUGAUGUUAGCGGCGGACGGGUGAGUAACACGUGGAUAACCUACCUAUAAGACUGGGAUAACUUCGGGAAACCGGAGCUAAUACCGGAUAAUAUUUUGAACCGCAUGGUUCAAAAGUGAAAGACGGUCUUGCUGUCACUUAUAGAUGGAUCCGCGCUGCAUUAGCUAGUUGGUAAGGUAACGGCCUACAAAGGCAACGAUGCAUAGCCGACCUGAGAGGGUGACCGGCCAAACGGGAACUGGACCACGGUCAAGACUCCUACGGGGGGCAGCAGAAGGAAAUCUUCCGCAAUGGGCGAAAGCCUGACGGAGCAACGCCGCGUGGGUGAUGAAGUUCUUCGGAUCGUAAACCUCUGUUAUUAGGGAGGAACAUAUGUGUAAGGAACUGUGCACAUCUUGACGGUAACUAAUCAGAAAGCCACGGCUAACUACGUG
Molecule: ribosomal RNA, 497 nt
Filed under: uncultured bacterium
Lineage: Bacteria
Description: partial 16S ribosomal RNA
Rfam family: Bacterial small subunit ribosomal RNA
Source: RNAcentral